AGAGUUUGAUUCUGGCUGAGAACGAACGCUGGCGGCGUGGAUUAGGCAUGCAAGUCGAACGGGGUGUCCGCGGUAGCAAUAUCAUGGGCAUCCAGUGGCGAAAGGGUGAGUAACGCGCGGGUAAUCUGCCUUGAAGUUGGGAAUAGCCCGGGGAAACUUGGGAUAAUUCCGAAUGUGAUCGCUGGCCGCAUGGCCAGCCGUUUAAAGCCGGGGACCGCAAGGCCUGGCGCUUCAAGAUGAGCCCACGUCCUAUCAGCUUGUUGGUGAGGUAACGGCUCACCAAGGCUUACGGGUAGCUGGUCUGAGAGGAUGGUCAGCCACACUGGGACUGAGAACUGCCCAGACUCCUACGGGAGGCUGCAGUCGAGAAUCAUUCGCAAUGGGCGAAAGCCUGACGAUGCGACGCCGCGUGCAGGACGAAGGCCUUCGGGUUGUAAACUGCUGUGAUGGGGGAACAACCGGUCGUGUGUGAAUAAUGCACGGCUCUGAUAGUACCCCAAGAGGAAGCCACGGCUAACUCUGUGCCAGCAGCCGCGGUAAUACAGAGGUGGCAAGCGUUGUUCGGAUUUACUGGGCGUAAAGGGUGCGUAGGCGGUCCUGUGUGUCGGGUGUGAAAUCCCACGGAUCAUCCGUGGAACUGCAUUCGAAACUGCGGGGCUCGAGUGUUGGAGAGGAGGGCGGAAUUCUCGGUGUAGCGGUGAAAUGCGUUGAUAUCGAGAAGAACGCCGGAGGCGAAGGCGGCCCUCUGGACAACUACUGACGCUGAGGCACGAAAGCUAGGGGAGCAAACAGGAUUAGAUACCCUGGUAGUCCUAGCCGUAAACGGUGUGCACUUGGUGUAGGAGGAAUUAUCCCCUCCUGUGCCGGAGCUAACGCGUUAAGUGCACCGCCUGGGGAGUACGGUCGCAAGAUUAAAACUCAAAGAAAUUGACGGGGGCCCGCACAAGCGGUGGAGCAUGUGGCUUAAUUCGAUGCUACGCGAAGAACCUUACCUGGGCUUGACAUGCAGAGUUCAACCGGUGAAAGCCGGCGGCCCGCAAGGGCGAUCUGCACAGGUGCUGCAUGGCUGUCGUCAGCUCGUGCCGUGAGGUGUUGGGUUAAGUCCCGCAACGAGCGCAACCCCUGUGGCUAGUUGCCACGCCGCAAGGCGGCACUCUAGCCAGACUGCCUGUGAUAAGCAGGAGGAAGGUGGGGAUGACGUCAAGUCAGUAUGGUCCUUAUGUCCAGGGCUGCACACGUGCUACAAUGACGAGUACAGAAGGAAGCUACGCCGCGAGGCUGAGCAAAUCCCCAAAACUCGUCCCAGUUCAGAUUGGAGUCUGCAACUCGACUCCAUGAAGCCGGAAUCGCUAGUAAUGGCGCAUCAGCUACGGCGCCGUGAAUACGUUCCCGGGCCUUGUACACACCGCCCGUCACAUCACGAAAGCCGAUUGCACCCGAAGUGGCCGAUUCGACCCGCAAGGGGGAUAAGUCCCUAAGGUGUGGUUGGUGAUUGGGAUGAAGUCGUAACAAGGUA
This 1516-nucleotide ribosomal RNA is filed under the name metagenome. Its description in RNAcentral is "bacterial SSU rRNA". It matches the Rfam family "Bacterial small subunit ribosomal RNA". The record is from RNAcentral.